Molecule: non-coding RNA, 105 nt
Organism: Potamilus streckersoni
Lineage: Eukaryota; Metazoa; Mollusca; Bivalvia; Unionida; Unionidae
Source: the annotation of a GenBank genome assembly
GAUCCGGUGGCUUAGUGGUUAGAGCGUCCGCCUCGGAUGCGGGAAGUCGUGGGUUGCGUCCGCCUCGGAUGCGGAAAGUCGUGUGUUCGAUCCACGGCCGAGUCA